Molecule: long non-coding RNA, 280 nt
Organism: Gordionus sp. m RMFG-2023
Lineage: Eukaryota; Metazoa; Nematomorpha; Gordioida; Chordodea; Parachordodidae
Exons: 3
Source: RefSeq, a predicted model, not a curated record
CAAUAUAAGAAAAAACAAACCAAGUUAAAAAGCAGAAUAAGCAAAAUGCAUUGUUACCAUCAUUCCAGAGGUAUGUGAUGCUAUAUGGAAAACUUUAAAAGAUAUUCAUAUGCCAGUUCCAACUAGAGAACAUUGGGAGAAGAUUGCACAAAAAUAUUUUGACCUGGCUCAUUAGAUGGUAAGCACUUUAUAUCAAAAGUUAGAAAAACCAAUAUCAAACACCUUAAAAAACUAUGAAACCUUAUCCUAUGAAAAAUACCAGUCCAGAAGCAAAACAUUA